GUGGGGAAUAUUGGACAAUGGGCGAAAGCCUGAUCCAGCCAUGCCGCGUGCAGGAUGAAGGCCUUCGGGUUGUAAACUGCUUUUGUACGGAACGAAACGGUCCGGGUUAAUACCCUGGGCUAAUGACGGUACCGUAAGAAUAAGCACCGGCUAACUUCGUGCCAGCAGCCGCGGUAAUACGAAGGGGGCUAGCGUUGCUCGGAAUUACUGGGCGUAAAGGGCGCGUAGGCGGACAGUUUAGUCAGAGGUGAAAGCCCAGGGCUCAAACUGGGAACUGCCUCCAAAACUGCAUGACUAGAGUACGGUAGAGGGUAGUGGAAUUUCCUGUGUAGCGGUGAAAUGCGUAGAUAUAGGAAGGAACACCAGUGGCGAAGGCGACUACCUGGACUGAUACUGACACUGAGGUGCGAAAGCGUGGGGAGCAAACAGGAUUAGAAACCCCUGUAGUCC
RNAcentral lists this ribosomal RNA (450 nucleotides) under uncultured bacterium. RNAcentral's name for it is "bacterial SSU rRNA". It matches the Rfam family "Bacterial small subunit ribosomal RNA", at positions 354 to 796 of the family's 1533-position model. The record is from RNAcentral.